This 393-nucleotide ribosomal RNA is filed under the name uncultured bacterium. RNAcentral describes it as "bacterial SSU rRNA". It matches the Rfam family "Bacterial small subunit ribosomal RNA", at positions 28 to 423 of the family's 1533-position model. The record is from RNAcentral.
GACGAACGCUGGCGGCGUGCUUAACACAUGCAAGUCGAGCGGUAAGGCCCUUUCGGGGGUACACGAGCGGCGAACGGGUGAGUAACACGUGGGUGACCUGCCCUCAGCUCUGGGAUAAGCCUGGGAAACCGGGUCUAAUACCGGAUAUGACUCCAUGACGCAUGUUGUGGGGUGGAAAGCCUUGUGCGGCUGAGGAUGGGCCCGCGGCCGUAUCAGCUUGUUGGUGGGGUGAUGGCCUACCAAGGCGACGACGGGUAGCCGGCCUGAGAGGGCGACCGGCCACACUGGGACUGAGACACGGCCCAGACUCCUACGGGAGGCAGCAGUGGGGAAUCUUGCGCAAUGGGCGAAAGCCUGACGCAGCGACGCCGCGUGAGGGAUGACGGCCUCGGU